UGGGGAAUAUUGCACAAUGGGCGAAAGCCUGAUGCAGCGAUGCCGCGUGAGGGAAGAAGGUCUUCGGAUUGUAAACCUCUGUUUUCAGGGACGAUAAUGACGGUACCUGAGGAGGAAGCUCCGGCUAACUACGUGCCAGCAGCCGCGGUAAUACGUAGGGAGCGAGCGUUGUCCGGAAUUACUGGGUGUAAAGGGAGUGUAGGCGGGAAAACAAGUCAGAUGUGAAAACUAUGGGCUCAACCUGUAGACUGCAUUUGAAACUGUUUUUCUUGAGUGAAGUAGAGGUAAGCGGAAUUCCUAGUGUAGCGGUGAAAUGCGUAGAUAUUAGGAGGAACAUCAGUGGCGAAGGCGGCUUACUGGGCUUUUACUGACGCUGAGGCUCGAAAGCGUGGGGAGCAAA
Molecule: ribosomal RNA, 400 nt
Filed under: uncultured bacterium
Lineage: Bacteria
Description: bacterial SSU rRNA
Rfam family: Bacterial small subunit ribosomal RNA
Source: RNAcentral